Molecule: RNase P RNA, 313 nt
Filed under: Xenopus laevis (African clawed frog)
Lineage: Eukaryota; Metazoa; Chordata; Amphibia; Anura; Pipidae
Description: Nuclear RNase P
Rfam family: Nuclear RNase P
About the family: Ribonuclease P (RNase P) is a ubiquitous endoribonuclease, found in archaea, bacteria and eukarya as well as chloroplasts and mitochondria. Its best characterised activity is the generation of mature 5'-ends of tRNAs by cleaving the 5'-leader elements of precursor-tRNAs.
Source: Rfam by way of RNAcentral
GGAGGGAAGCUCAGUGCUGAGGCUACAGACAGAGUGCUGGGGGUCACUCAGUGAGUGUGACUCAGGGAAGGUCUGAGAUUUAGAGCCCCUUGCUGCUCUCACAGGGCAUCACUUGGANNAAGUGAGUGGUACUCAGGAAAGCUUGGCUCUGAUUGGCCAGUGAGUGCAAAAGAUGCAGUGAGUGCUCCUGGGUUGAGCUCCUGUAGGAUGCAAAGGCAUCAGGCUUGGCACUGCCCACAGCUGGCACAUUCAAGCUCAAUGGCUGAGAGGGAACUGCCNCAACCCAAUUCAGACUACUUUUUUUCCACAUUUC